AUGAAGAAUAAGAAGCGUGCUAGUACAAAAGACGAUAUAACCAUGGAUAAGGAAUGUUCCUAUAUAUACAGGAACUAUUACAAAUACAUAAGAAAUGGUAAAUCAGAAUUACCUAGACUAUCGCUUGACCUUUUCCCUUCUAUUAAUACCUACACUUCUAUACCCAAAUUAAAUGCCAUAGACUCGAUUAAAUUUCAUCCUUGUAUUUCUAGAUCGGAUUAUUUUAAUAGUAAUAAUUCUUAUAAGCCACUAUUUACGCACCACUUUUUUACCGAUAGUGAACAGAUAUUAGGAUUCGACUCACUAAAAAUUGAUUUUUAUUACACAUGUGACACAUAUGAUGUGUUUAUGAAAAUAAGAGGAAAAAUAAUUGAUCAAUAUGAAAAUGCUAAUUAUGUCAUGCUAAUGCUUUUGCAGAAUUUGUAUUUGACUACACCUUAUCCUAGUGGUUUUAUUGAAACAGAGAAGAAAUUUUUAAAAAUCCUCGAAAGUAAUGAAAAGAAAAAGCAAUUGUUAAAACAUGGUAUAAAUGGGAUAAGUAGUAGGAAUAGAAAAAGUAAUGACAGUUUUAACACUUUGAAUAAAUUAUACAAACCUCCUGGUUUUAUUAUAUAUGAAAAAAAAAUCAGUGAAGAUAUGUAUUUACAAAUAAGAAAGUGUGGUUUUUCAUCUGAAUAUUUUAAAAACAAUAAUGACAGUAAUGAAGAGGAGAUGAAUGAAAGUGAUAGAAGUUCAUUAGAAGUAACAGAAGAAUCGGGAGAAGAUGAAAUCAUAAAUGGUGACGUAAAUGGAGACGUAAAUGGAGAUGUAAGUGGUGACGCAAAUGGUGACGUAAAUGGAGUUGUAAAUGGAGUUGUAAAUGGAGUUGUAAACGAAAAUGGAAACGAAGAAAUAUCAAGUAAUGUAAUUUGUAAUAAAAUUAAAAAUCUGAAUAAAACAAAAAAUAAGAAAGGUACGAUAAAAAAAGGAGAUUGAUACAAAGGAAAAAAAUAUAAAUAAUCGUUUUAAAAAGAAAGUUGGUCAUGUUAUAGAUACUGAUUGUGUUAGUGGUAAUAUUAGUAAUGGAACUAAUAAUAGUAAUUCUGUCUUACAUACUAGUACAAACAUUUUAUAUGAAUGUGAUAAGAGAAGAAGUAAUAGAAAAGGAGUUAUUAAGGCCAUUAAUAAGAAUAAUGGUAUUUGUAAAGAUAAAGUAACAAAGAAAAAAAACGAAAAUCUAGGAAUGGUAAAAAAAGUUGAAACUAGAGGAAGAAAAAAAAAAAAGCGAAACUAUAGGAAUAAAAAAAAAAAUAGAAUCUAGAAGAGGGAGAAA
RNAcentral lists this long non-coding RNA (1312 nucleotides) under Piliocolobus tephrosceles (Ugandan red Colobus). RNAcentral's name for it is "lncRNA (ENSPTEG00000019299.1)". Lineage: Eukaryota; Metazoa; Chordata; Mammalia; Primates; Cercopithecidae. The record is from RNAcentral.